CUACGGGACGCUCCAGUGAGGAAUAUUGCACAAUGGGGGGAACCCUGAUGCAGCAACGCCGCGUGGAGGAUGACGCAUUUCGGUGUGUAAACUCCUUUUAUAUGUCAAGAAAAUGACGGUAGCAUAUGAAUAAGCACCGGCUAACUCCGUGCCAGCAGCCGCGGUAAUACGGAGGGUGCAAGCGUUACUCGGAAUCACUGGGCGUAAAGGACGCGUAGGCGGGUUGGAAAGUCAGGUGUGAAAUCCUACAGCUUAACUGUAGAACUGCACUUGAAACUUCUAAUCUAGAGGAUGGGAGGGAGAGAUGGAAUUAGUGGUGUAGGGGUAACAUCCGUAGAUAUCACUAGGAAUACCUAAAGCGAAGGCGAUCUCCUGGAACAUUACUGACGCUAAGGCGUGAAAGCGUGGGGAGCAAACAGGAUUAGAUACCCGCGUAGUC
RNAcentral lists this ribosomal RNA (439 nucleotides) under uncultured bacterium. Its description in RNAcentral is "partial 16S ribosomal RNA". It matches the Rfam family "Bacterial small subunit ribosomal RNA", at positions 339 to 795 of the family's 1533-position model. The record is from RNAcentral.